AAAAAAGAAUGCUUAGAGGCGACGCGGAUGACAUUGCUAAACAAUUUUUGAAGAGAAGCUGCGAAUCGAGGGCGUUACGGUCACUUCACUCGUCUAGAGGCGUGACUCGUGAAAAUAAGUAUCAAGGUGAAGCUGAUAAUUGGAUCAAGGUUCUAAAAGGGCCUGCAUACAAGGAAGCCCUUGGGUCAUAUAGGCACGUGGUUAUUAUUCCUAAUGUAUGUAUGUAGACCGUUCUGUCUCACCAGAGUACAAUGAUCCAUGAUGAGUUUCUAGCUAAAUAACUGAGAGGUGACUUCAACAGGGAUUUACAGCAUGCCAUUAACCCGUUAGUAUUUACAUAAGGACAAUGAGCUCUAUAGCAGUAGCCGUAAUGCUCACGUGGGUAACCACGAUUUCUUCAACCGGACUCUUACUCCAAAUCGUACUGGUGGACGCUAUGGGGUGAUUUAUUGACAUGAGUGUAUUUUUCUUCUUUAACGCAUCUUUAUUUUUUUUGUAGGACUGUACUCCCAUCAUCCGGUUUGAUUCGUGGGGCUAAUUAUGAAUUUCCUGUCGAUUUUGAUACUUGAGACUAAUCAUGGAAUCUGAUGAGCAAUGCAAUUUUAAUGUAACACUUGGAUCACUUAAUGAGGGCGCUGAGAAUCCAGAUCCAUCGCUACGUCAAGGGAACGAUGGUCUACGUGAUGUAGAUCAGGGAGGAUGAUAAGUUCUUGGCUAUGUAUACAAGGCAGGACGUGACAUAUAGUUCACGUGGUGGAUACAUGUUUAUACGUUUUGCGUCUAGGGAAGAAAUAGAAGUCGCGUUGACAGUUCACAAGCAACAAUACAUAACAAUGAACAAGUCCUUUCAUUCGGCACGUAGUCACAUAGGGGAUUUGUUUAUUUCAUUCGAGGACACUGAUCAGAGAAGAUAUAAUUUAAUUUUUCAAGUAUACAGAGAUUACUUAACAUUGACUUUUCAAUUGGACUUAUAUUUAUACACGUCGAAUAGAAUAUUGUAUUUCUGUUUUAUUCUGCAAUUGAUUAUUUGCUUGGAGCUUAUUUGGUUGAAACUACUUGUACUUGUUUUAUGUUUAGGGGAUAUAUUGCAUAGGGGAGAAUUGGGAUUGUCGAUAACCUGUUUUUCGCAAAAUAAUCUGUUGAUGCUAGUCAAAAUGAUGAAGUACCGAACUCUAAGUUAAUAAUCAAACGCGAAUACGUUCGUCAUUCGCAGCUAUGAUAAUAGCGAUAAGAUAACAUUUACAUUUAUUCAAUUAGUCGUUUGGCGAACGAUCGUUUUUAUUUGUAUUCUUGCUCAUAGAGUCUUCAGUGUGUAUGAUAAAUUUAAAUGACUUUAUAUCGCUCCAUCAGACUUAACUCAUUGUUGCGUUACUAUUAGCCAACGUCGGUGUGAUUCGUAGAAACGUAAAAGAAGAAAAUGUCACUCUCAGUCCAAGUAAAGGGAGAGUUGAAAGUCAUUUGUCUCUGUCAAUUCCAAGAGAGCUCAGGCCAUAUUUUUAAAUGCUGUACAAACCAAAGAUCUUUUUCGCAUAGACGCAUAGCGAGACUGAUGAAUCAUUGAAACUCGUUGAUGAGUUAGAAUAAAAUAUUUUAAAUGUU
Long non-coding RNA from Cephus cinctus (wheat stem sawfly), 1599 nucleotides. RefSeq lists it as uncharacterized. The record is from RefSeq and is a predicted model, not a curated record. Lineage: Eukaryota; Metazoa; Arthropoda; Insecta; Hymenoptera; Cephidae. The transcript has 3 exons.